ACUUUUUUAUUAUAAUAAAUUAUAUUUGAUUUCCAAUCAAAAGAUCUUAAUAAAAAGAAAAAGUA
This 65-nucleotide transfer RNA is filed under the name Pylorgus porrectus. RNAcentral's name for it is "tRNA-Gly". Lineage: Eukaryota; Metazoa; Arthropoda; Insecta; Hemiptera; Lygaeidae. The record is from RNAcentral.